AACGACUCUCGGCAACGGAUAUCUCGGCUCUCGCAUCGAUGAAGAACGUAGCGAAAUGCGAUACUUGGUGUGAAUUGCAGAAUCCCGUGAACCAUCGAGUCUUUGAACGCAAGUUGCGCCCGAAGCCUUCUGGCCGAGGGCACGUCUGCCUGGGCGUCACAC
Molecule: ribosomal RNA, 162 nt
Filed under: Hypertelis walteri
Lineage: Eukaryota; Viridiplantae; Streptophyta; Magnoliopsida; Caryophyllales; Molluginaceae
Description: 5.8S ribosomal RNA
Rfam family: 5.8S ribosomal RNA
About the family: 5.8S ribosomal RNA (5.8S rRNA) is a component of the large subunit of the eukaryotic ribosome. It is transcribed by RNA polymerase I as part of the 45S precursor that also contains 18S and 28S rRNA.
Source: RNAcentral